This 252-nucleotide ribosomal RNA is filed under the name uncultured bacterium. Its description in RNAcentral is "partial 16S ribosomal RNA". It matches the Rfam family "Bacterial small subunit ribosomal RNA", at positions 525 to 776 of the family's 1533-position model. The record is from RNAcentral.
ACCGAGGGUGCGAGCGUUAAUCGGAAUUACUGGGCGUAAAGCGCGCGUAGGCGGUUUGAUCAGUCGGAUGUGAAAUCCCCGGGCUUAACCUGGGAAUUGCAUUCGAUACUGUCAAGCUGGAGUAUGGUAGAGGUGAGUGGAAUUCCUGGUGUAGCGGUGAAAUGCGUAGAUAUCAGGAGGAACAUCAGUGGCGAAGGCGACUCACUGGACCAAUACUGACGCUGAGGUGCGAAAGCGUGGGGAGCAAACAGG